Molecule: ribosomal RNA, 112 nt
Filed under: Caerostris darwini
Lineage: Eukaryota; Metazoa; Arthropoda; Arachnida; Araneae; Araneidae
Source: RNAcentral
AACGGCCAUACCAUGCUGAAUAUACCGGUUCUCAUUAGAUCACCGAAGUCAAGCAUCAUUGGGCGCGGUCAGUACUUGGGUGGGUGACCACCUGGGAACACCGCGUGCCGUU